CCUUAGUUCACCACAAUGUUAACUAUUCCAUGAAUUGCAGGGCGAGAGGCCAGAUUAUGGCAAUAGAUUCUUUAAGAUUGCAUUUCUUCUUUUCUUGCUUCUUCUCACUGUUCAAAGUCGUCCCCAGUGCCCUGCAAGGAUCCAUCCCUUUUUAUGACUGCUCGGAUAUCGGUAACUACACCACCAAUAGUACCUACCAAACAAAUCUCAGAACCCUCUUAUCCAUCCUCCCUUCUCAGCCCAACGAAGAUAAUUUCAGGUUUUACUAUCUCUCUUUCGGCCAAUUCCAGGAUAAGGUUAAUGUGAUUGCGUUUUGUAGAGGAGAUAUUGCAGCAGAUGCCUGUCGAAGCUGUGUCCGUGCAUCUGCACACAAUAUUUCAGAGGUCUGUCCACGGGAAAAGGAAGCAUUUGAAUAUGUGGAUGAUUGUCAGCUACGAUAUUCUAACAAAACGUUAUUCGGUGUGGUUGAAAAUGAACCUACUGUAUAUUAUACCCACCCACAAUUUGUCUCAUCAUCAGAUGGAAUUCAGUUCAACUCGGAAGUGGAAAGAUUACUCAAAAGACUGAGGAUAAGAGCUGCCUCUGCGGACAGUAAGUUUGCAACAGGAAAGGCAACUGUGAACUCUCAAACAAUAUAUGCGCUUACCCAGUGCUCUCCUGGUUUGUCCAAGCAGCAAUGCGAUGAAUGUUUGGCUAUGGCCAUUGGAGAGAUUCGAAAUUGUUGCUUAGGGAAUAUAGGAGGAACAGUGCUUAGACCCAGCUGCAAUUUCAGGUUUAACCCAUAUAUGUUCUAUACACCUACUGCUGACACACUACCACCGGAAUCAUCCCCACCGCCAGUAUCUCCUCCGCCGAGAGAAGGAAAGCAUCAUAAGAAAUCUGCUGUCAUCAUUGUCAUUUCAGUAGUAAUUACUACCAUAUUAAUAAUUUCCAGUUGCAUCUUUUUAAGAGCAAGGAAAACAAGGCGAAAACCUAAAAAUGUGAAUGAAAUUAGACUUGCUGAAUCCUUGCAUUUCGAUUUGGGCAUCAUUAGAAUUGCAACAGAUGACUUUUCUGAUGCGAACAAGCUUGGACAAGGGGGAUUUGGAGUUGUUUACAAGGGUAGACUUUUCAAUGGACAAGACGUAGCUGUAAAAAGGUUAUCUAGAGAUUCUGGACAAGGAAAUAGAGAAUUUGAGAAUGAGAUUCUACUAGUAGCUAAACUUCAACAUAGGAAUUUAGUCAGGCUACUAGGUUUCUGCUUGGAAGGAAACGAGAGGCUUCUAAUCUAUGAGUUUGUGCCCAAUGGAAGCCUUGACCAUUUCAUAUUUGAUCCUAUCAAGCGUGCACAAUUGGAUUGGGAAACACGAUACAAAAUUACAAGAGGCAUUGCUCGAGGUAUUCUUUACCUCCAUGAAGAUUCUCAACUCCGAAUUAUUCAUCGUGAUCUCAAAGCUAGCAAUAUUUUAUUAGAUGAAGAGAUGAGUCCUAAAAUUUCAGAUUUCGGCAUGGCAAGGUUGUUUGCUAUGGAUCAAACGCAGGGGGAGACAAGUACCAUUAUAGGAACCUAUGGAUACAUGGCUCCAGAGUAUGCAAUGCAU
Molecule: unclassified non-coding RNA, 1580 nt
Filed under: Hevea brasiliensis (rubber tree)
Lineage: Eukaryota; Viridiplantae; Streptophyta; Magnoliopsida; Malpighiales; Euphorbiaceae
Source: RNAcentral